This 3746-nucleotide long non-coding RNA is filed under the name Homo sapiens (human). Its description in RNAcentral is "HSALNT0295242". Lineage: Eukaryota; Metazoa; Chordata; Mammalia; Primates; Hominidae. The record is from RNAcentral.
CCUCUCAUCUUGUAGGUGAGGAAACCGAAGGCCUGAGGGAGAAAUGACUUGCCAGGAACCCCUGUUAAGGAAAAUUAACAAAGUGUGGUUAUUAAAGAAGAACUGAGUUGGGAGUCAGACCUGGAGGCCCGCACCCGUGGUUAAGACAUUAUACCACCUUGAGUCUGGCCUGUUGACUGAGGAUACAACAGAGAAAUGCAUAAUGUCCAGUCAAUUUAUUAAAGUUCCAAAGUCGGUCGCGCGCAGUGGCUCACGCCUGUAAUCUCAACACUUCGGGAGGCCGAGGCGUGUGGAUCACGAGAUUUCAAUAUGAUUAAAGGAGUGAGGACACAGCGAAAGUGAGACAAGGAAAAGAGAACAAAAUAAAACAGGAAAGACAGAAAAGCCAAUACCACACGUGUUAAGAGGUAAGUUCCUGUGUUAGAUAUCUGGGCUUAAUUUUAUGGGAAGCUAUGUGGAGCAUGCCUCAGAAUUACAUCACUGAAUCCAGGGAGAUUCUUCUUAGUUACCCUCACCUUUUCUUCCCACUUCAUGCCCAGUAACAAGCUCCCGUGCUGCUAGAGAAAGUCCUCAGCUAGAAACUGGUGCAAAUUCUGGAGAUGAGACCUUGUAGAGUGUUAAGAAUGGUUUUCUUCCCAGCAGCUACAGCUAAGGAAUAGGGGCUGGGCUAUGAAUACAUCUGCUACAAACCAAUAAAGCCCUUAUGCUCCUUUUGGUGAUCGACAAUGUAUUUAAAAAUAUUAGAUGAUCAAGAAGGGCUGCAGAAAGGAGGAAACAGAAACAAACAGCACACCUCUUGGUUUAUUUUUUUUCAUUUCAUCAGUUUCAAGGAAAAUAUGUUGGGAGUUCCUGGCAUAGAGAAUGUCACAAAGACAUGUUUUCAAUAGUAGUGCUAUCCCGAGGGCAGAGAAGACCCAGAGAAAGCCCAAGUGGCUGCUGGAACAAAAUCAGACACCGUGCCACCUGUCCACACUCCUUGGCUCUGCCAUCAUGCUGAAGAUCGCUUUAAAGGACUGGCUUCCCUCCCCCCAAAAUUAAAAGAGCACAGACUGAGAAACUGAAUGUGGGAGACAGCAGUGGAUUAUGCUGUUCUCAGGGGUCACCUCAGGUUUGGAAGCAUUCUUUCAAAUUAACCCAUCUCAGGCCAUCUGCAGAGAAGAAAGGUGGUACCUAACUUUUUUUCUUGUCGGCAUUUGGUAGGGGUGUUUUAUUGACCAAAUAUGUUCCCACAACCUAGUUUUUUGUGACUAACUAAAUAUAGUAGAGUUUUAAAUUUUAUCAUCAAAAUCUAUAGACAAUUUUUGAUGAAAAUAGACUCCAUCUCUAUGUCCUGCUUUUCUUCUUCUUAUUAAUUACAUUGCUGUAUAAAAGAACAAGACUUCAGCAUCAAGAAUAUCUUGUCUCUUGGCAUUGAAUUUAUACAAGGUGCUCUUUCUUUAAUGCUGUCUCAAAGGACAUAUUUUUACUCAUUAAAAAGGAAGAUCGGAAUCUAGUUGUAUGCACUGCUCCAACAUAUUAAUAAUUAAAAUUAGGAGGUAAAUGUGGUCAAAGCUAUAGAAAGACUGAGAUGUCAUUUAUAUGGAUUACUCUAUAGCACUCUACAAACAGAAAUUGUUAAAUAAUAGUUUAUAUAAAUAUUUUGUAGCAUUUCAAAUAUUUGAGUGCUUGAAGUUUCUCCUCUUCUAUAGUUCAGAUUAUCAAUUUGAAGACUUACUCCGCUAGUUAAUAUGUUUUUAGUCUCGUUUGAGUAUUAUAUAAAAGCAAUUUUCAGUUAAAUGUGUUCCGCUUACAUAAAACGUUACAAAUUAUUGAGGAUUUAAUUACUUAUUCAUGUUCCUGUAAUGUCUUUAGAAGAUUUUCUUAUUAUUACCUAUCAAUAUAUGUAUGCUUUGUCAAAGAAAAAUCAAACAUAUAUAUCAUUGAAAUUGAAACUUUUUAAAAGUACUUAUUAAUUCUAUUGAAAAACCACAUCCAUAGGAACAAUUACAAUAUAAUAUUGUGAACAUGUAAACAUAUACCCUAUGUCUAUUUUAUGUAUAAGCAUGUAUGAUUAAAAAUAUAGUGAAGAAUUUUUAAACCUAGUAUUAUAAAGUAAAAAUUAGUUAACUUCUGAUGAUUAUUUGUUAAUUAAGAUAAAAUUAUUUUGAUUUGGGUGAUUUUAAAUAAAGAAAAAUAUUAAAUUACAUGACAAAAAUUCUUUAUAAAAUGUUUAUGAUUUUUACAUUGGUUUUAUCACUUUUCCCACUAUUUUAUUUUAAGAUGACCUGCCUUGUUUAAAACACUGUAUUCAUCUUAGUUAAAUUAGAUUCCAUUUGUAAAAUAAUUAACAAAUGAUUUGCUCUAUUGUACAGUGCGGUUAUAAACUGAGUCAGUAUCUCAAGAUUUGAUCCCCAUUAUCAUCAUCUGUGGCCCUAUUUGUUUUAUAAAUGUAUUGUCUUUUUCCAUGCCUGUCACAUCUCUAUUGCUCUUUCAUUUUUCUCUUUGUCCCUUAUAGGGAGCAUUGCCUAUCUCUAGAUUAAGCAAAAGUUGCAUCAUAAAAAAGCACAAUAACCUGCUCAAUCUUUCUCACACAGAGAAAUGUUUGUUAAGUAAUUAAAGUGUAGAUGAUGAUACAAAGAGCUUGAUUAAAUUAGAUGCCAAAGUACCCUUGUGAUUCAGAAUAUGAAUGGUAUUUAAUUUCUUUGAAAUCAUUAAUUGCUGAGUGAGAUUAAUUAAUGCCAAUAUUCCAGAAGAUGUUCUACUUAGUGAAAUGUAUACAACGAAAAGCACAAUAACCUGCUCAAUCUUUCUCACACAAAGAAAUGUUUGUUAAGUAAUUAAACUGUAGAUGAUGAUACAAAGAGCUUGAUUAAAUUAGGUGCCAAAGUACCCUUGUGAUUCAGAAUAUGAAUGGUAUUUAAUUUCUUUGAAAUCAUUAAUUGCUGAGUGAGAUUAAUUAAUGCCAAUAUUCCAGAAGAUGUUCCAGUCAGUGAAAUGUAUACAACGUGCAAAAGAUUCAGAACUCUGAAGGGCAACAUUAUUCUAUAAUUAAGAAUUAAGAAUGAAUUCGCAUUAAUUACUGGGGAGAAAUACUUUUUAAGAAUUAAUGACUGAGAAAAUGUUUUUAUUUUUUAUUUAGAAAAUUAUUUUGUGCAUGAGCAUUACCGCAAGUUUUGCAAGAAACAUAAAUUUAAAGAAACAAUUAUGUGCACAAGAUGAAUUUAAUAACAUCUUGAUAUAUUCCACGAUUGCGGUUUUAUUUGGUAAAUCUUUCAAGGCACACCAUUUAAAGAGAAUAAAUGAGUCUUGGAAAUCUUGUAGGUAAGGGUAAAUAUUAGGAUGCAUCCAGUUACAUUUACACACACAUACAGUUACAUUUACACACACAUACACGCAUACAGACUGAGUCACGUGUGUGUAUAUAUAUAUAUGAAUUUACCAAUUGAUGUUAACUAAUAUUUAUAAGAGCCAGUUGGAUUGAUAUAUAUUGUUGAACCUGAAAAAUAUUUAUUAUAUACAUGUUUAAAAUACACACAGAAAUAAAUAGCAAUUGCACUAGGCAUUUGAAACUGUACUAAAAUAUAAGCUGUGAACAUUUUGUGAUCAUUACAAAUUCUUACACUGAAUAAAUAUUUUUAUUUUUACAAUAUUAAUAUGUUUGAUACCUGUGUAUAUUUUUUUACAAUGUGUUAUUUUAUUUUUGUCAUAGAGUCAUGUCAUGCAUAAUAACAUUUUAGUCAAAGAUGGAUUACAUAUACAAAAGUGGU